This is a long non-coding RNA of Myodes glareolus (Bank vole), 575 nucleotides long. RefSeq lists it as uncharacterized. Lineage: Eukaryota; Metazoa; Chordata; Mammalia; Rodentia; Cricetidae. The record is from RefSeq and is a predicted model, not a curated record.
CGGCCUUUUUUGAAUUAAAAUAUCAGUUCCAAACCCAGAGUGUGAAGAAACUGUGGUGUCUGGGCAGUGUCCAUGCUGCACUGUGGCUUGUCUGCUGCCUGAGCCCUGAACACACAGCACACGCGCUGAGCCCUGCACACGCCCUCAGGCUGCUCACCACCAGUGAGGACGGCCAGAAAUGGCUCUGAUUCCAGACUCCACGCCAGGAACUGUAGUGCUUUGACUAAUACUGUGCUGUCGUGUUGUAAAGCCCUGCCUCUCCCGACUGGAGAACAUGGAUGCUCCUUCAAGCAAACAGGCAUCAUUUCCGUCAGAACAAUUUGACUACUUGCAAGAGACCCUGGAUAUCAGAGGAAUCUGGGCCGUGAGAAAAAUCAUCACAUUGAUCACCGUCUAUCAACCUCUCUAGCCAAAGACCCUCUCCUACUCUGAGUCCUGCGGAAUUCUGUAUUGGAUCAGCCCAACCCCACAGAUGGAUGGUUUUCUGUUCAUGGCAGCUGGCUUGAUAGAUCAACCUAAUCAAUGUAUAGAUGCUAUAUUUUCAGGAUGCUAAAAUGUACAUUUUUUCACAUUCA